UAAGAUAUAAAUUAAAAUAAAACCUGCUCAGUGUCAAGAAUAAACAGCUGCAGUUUUACUGUACUAAGGUAGCACAAUCAUUUGCUUUAUAAUUAAAAGAUAGUAUGAACGGUUCAAUGCCUUUAAAUCACGUUUCAAAAAUACAACUUAAAUUAAGUUUAAAGUAAAAACUCUUUUACAAAAAAGUAGGACGACAAGACCCUGACAAACUAAGAUACUUUUAGUUGGGGAAACAAAUUAAAAAAUAUUUAAUAAUUUCACUACAAAACUUUAACAUAAAAUAAAGAUAAGUUACUGCAGGGAUAACAGCGCUAUCCCCCUUAAGAGACCUAAUCCAAAGGGGGGAUUACGACCUCGAUGUUGAAUUAAGGUCCCUAAAAGAUGCAACAAUCUUAAUAAAGGCGGUCUGUUCGACCAAUAAAUCCUU
RNAcentral lists this ribosomal RNA (427 nucleotides) under Pholcus agadir. RNAcentral's name for it is "partial 16S ribosomal RNA". It matches the Rfam family "Archaeal large subunit ribosomal RNA", at positions 1926 to 2666 of the family's 2987-position model. The record is from RNAcentral. Lineage: Eukaryota; Metazoa; Arthropoda; Arachnida; Araneae; Pholcidae.